GGUUUCUUGUUAAAAUAAGAGAUUUGACCUGCCCACUGAAAAUUAUUGUUGAAGGGCCGCAGUAUUUUGACUGUGCAAAGGUAGCAUAAUCAUUAGUCUUUUAAUUGAAGGCUGGAAUGAAUGGUUGGACGAGGUAACAACUAUCCAAUAUUAAUGAGUGGAAUUUAAUUUUUGAAUAAAAAAGUUCAAAUGAUUUUGAGUGACGAGAAGACCCUAUAGAGUUUAACAUAAUUUGUUAAUAAUAAUUUGUUAAAAAUAUGAUUUAUUUAUUAUUAUAAAUUGAUGUUUUGUUGGGGUGAUUGGAAAAUAGAAAAAACUUUUCCUUUUAAUUAAUAUUAAUGAGUAGAAUAGUGAGUUGAUCCAUUAAAAGUGAUUAUAAGAUUAAAUUACCUUAGGGAUAACAGCGUAAUCUUUUUUGAGAGUUCUUAUUGAGAAGAAGGUUUGCGACCUCGAUGUUGGAUUAAGAUAAAUGUUGAAUGCAGCUGUUCAAAUUAUUAGGUCUGUUCGACCUUGAAAAUCUUACA
Molecule: ribosomal RNA, 524 nt
Filed under: Chaeteessa valida
Lineage: Eukaryota; Metazoa; Arthropoda; Insecta; Mantodea; Chaeteessidae
Description: partial 16S ribosomal RNA
Rfam family: Archaeal large subunit ribosomal RNA
Source: RNAcentral